AUUGAACGCUGGCGGCAGGCCUAACACAUGCAAGUCGAGCGGAUGAAGGGAGCUUGCUCCUGGAUUCAGCGGCGGACGGGUGAGUAAUGCCUAGGAAUCUGCCUGGUAGUGGGGGAUAACGUCCGGAAACGGGCGCUAAUACCGCAUACGUCCUGAGGGAGAAAGUGGGGGAUCUUCGGACCUCACGCUAUCAGAUGAGCCUAGGUCGGAUUAGCUGGUUGGUGGGGUAAAGGCCUACCAAGGCGACGAUCCGUAACUGGCCUGAGAGGAUGAUCAGUCACACUGGACCUGAGACACGGCCCAGACCCCUACGGGAGGCAGCGGUGGGGAAUAUUGGACAAUGGGCGAAAGCCUGCGCCAGCCAUGCCGCGUGUGUGAAGAAGGUCUUCGGUUUGUAAAGCACUUUAUGUUGGGAGGAAGGGCAGUAAGUUAACACCUUGCUGUUUUGCCGUUACCAACAGAAUAAGCACCGGCUACCUUCGU
RNAcentral lists this ribosomal RNA (483 nucleotides) under uncultured bacterium. RNAcentral's name for it is "partial 16S ribosomal RNA". It matches the Rfam family "Bacterial small subunit ribosomal RNA", at positions 30 to 506 of the family's 1533-position model. The record is from RNAcentral.